UACGACUGGAAUCACACAUACACUGCCACAAGAGGUCUGCAGUGAAGGUCCCAAAGUCCCAGACAAGUCCCCUCUUGUUGCCCAGGCUGGAGUGCAGCAGCAUGAUUACAGCUCACAUCAGCCUCGACCUCCCGGGCUCAAGCUAUCCUCCUACCUCAGCCUCCCAAGUAGCUGGGACUAUAGCAAAAUCAUAGAAGGAAACUCUAUGGACAAUUUCAGAUGGAGAAGAAGAAAGGACUGGAAGUUCAAUUUGGCCAUGACAAUUAGAGGCCAGGUGCAGUGCAUGUAAUCCCAGCACUUUGGGAGACUGAGAUGGGAAGAUCGCUUGAGGCCAGGAGUGCAAGACCAGCCUGGGCAACACAGCAAGACCUUGACUCUACUAAAAAAAAAAAAGGAUCCUUCAACUUCAACAAUAAUAACACGAGGGAAGUGAAGAAAAACACUUUCUAAGGAAAUCUCUCUCUGAGCUACCAUCCUGCUAGGGAGAGCCUGAAAGCAGAAUGCUGACUUGACUAGCUCUGGUCAAUGAAAGAAAUCACUAGUGGAAAGGCUACCAGGGGGCUUUCUCAAAAGAGAGGGACAGUAAACUGCAAGAUGAACAACUCAAUGCCAUCCAGGUCUGGAUGAGAAAGAACAGUCGAGAGACUGAGUUUCAGGAGUGGAAACACCCAAAGCAUCAUCUUCCACUUUCUUCUCCGGCUGCUAGGAAGAAGGGAAAAACACAGACCUUCUGAGGACCUGUGGAGCAAACCACUGGCUUCAGAAAAGCAAACAGGGACUUCCCUCUGCGCAGCAGGAAGCAGUUAGCCUAGUCGGAGGCUUGACUGAAGAAACAAAUGUAUCCACUGAUAAUGGGCAAGAGCCUGAGGCUCUGGAGCCAAGGGGGAACCCUAAAAAGCUGAUUCAAGUAAGAGAAGCAAGGAUCAUGCAAUUCCACAUGGCCACCUCGAAGCAGGAAUCCGUUAAUGAUAGUAAAGGACUGAUGAAAAUCCA
This is a long non-coding RNA of Pan troglodytes (chimpanzee), 993 nucleotides long. RefSeq lists it as uncharacterized. The transcript is spliced from 5 exons. NCBI's taxonomy places the organism in Eukaryota, Metazoa, Chordata, Mammalia, Primates, Hominidae. The record is from RefSeq and is a predicted model, not a curated record.